RNAcentral lists this unclassified non-coding RNA (11660 nucleotides) under Haliotis rufescens (red abalone). RNAcentral describes it as "rho-associated protein kinase 2-like, transcript variant X1". Lineage: Eukaryota; Metazoa; Mollusca; Gastropoda; Lepetellida; Haliotidae. The record is from RNAcentral.
UCCAUGGCAGCCAUGAUCUAACUAACUUGAAACAGGAAAGGAGUACCGGAAUUGUCACGUUAGAUAUCUACAUCGUGUUUAGAUUUUCCUUUAUUGUUUACACAGAGGAGGUGAAUGAUACACUCGCACUGGAAUUCAUGGAUAAGUGUCAAUAAUGUGAUUGCAUCUUCGGUCAAAGCGACCGGGUCUCGAGUUGCUGGACAGGAAUUUCACAUCGCAAGUCAAGCGCCAAAUGUGAUGAGCUGCGAUUAAUGUCAAAUGGUGGAACUUCUUUUAGCCCUGGCGUUGCUGCCAAUAUGUGUUGUUAAAUGGCGAAAUAUGUCAUUUGGUUAAAUGACAUUUAUUACAUCAUCAAAGCUGAAAUGUGUAAAUGAGACACAGUACGAAAGUGUCGGUGAUUUGGGGGCGGUUUGAUGUUGACAGAGUUGACAGUUAAUCUCAACUCAAGUGAUUACCGUCCCUCAGCUGAAUAUACGUGCAUCUGUUGAAAUUAAAUUUUAAUCGCCUGUAGGAUCAGACUUGUGAAGAUCCCAAGAUGGUGAUGUCAGAUACAGAUUACAAGCGGCGGCUAGCCAGCCUUGAAGAAAAGAUGAGAAAUCCAAAUUCAGAGAUAAAUGUAGAUGGUUUGCUGGACAGUAUAACAGCUCUGGUGGCCGAUCUGGAUCAUACAGCCAUCAGGAGGAAUAAGAAUGUGGAACAUUUCCUCCUCCGAUAUACCAAAACUGUAGACUUACUAAAGAAACUUCGUAUGAAAGCAGACGAUUUUGAUGUGAUCAAGGUUAUAGGCCGUGGUGCCUUUGGCGAAGUACAGUUGGUGCGACAUAAAAAGGCUAAGAAGGUGUAUGCAAUGAAGUUGCUCAGUAAAUAUGAAAUGUUGAAGAGAUCCGACUCAGCUUUCUUUUGGGAGGAACGUGAAAUUAUGGCUAAUGCCAACAGCGAGUGGAUUGUCCAGCUUCACUAUGCAUUCCAAGAUGGCCGCUUCCUGUACAUGGUGAUGGACUACAUGCCCGGGGGUGACCUGGUCAACCUCAUGAGUAACUAUGAUGUACCCGAGAAGUGGGCCAAGUUCUACUGUGCUGAAGUGGUCCUGUCCCUAGAUGCUAUCCACUCCAUGGGAUUCGUACACAGGGAUGUGAAGCCAGACAACAUGUUGCUGGAUGGUGCUGGUCACCUCAAACUGGCUGACUUUGGCACCUGUAUGAGGAUGGAUGCGGACGGUCUGGUUCGGUCGGACACAGCGGUAGGGACACCGGACUACAUCUCCCCGGAGGUGCUCAAGUCACAGGGUGGGGAGGGGCUGUACGGCCGCGAGUGUGACUGGUGGUCAGUCGGAGUCUUCCUCUAUGAGAUGCUUGUUGGUGACACACCUUUCUACGCUGACUCCCUUGUGGGCACAUAUGGCAAGAUCAUGGACCAUGCCCGAUCUCUGCAGUUCCCCCCUGAUGUGGACAUGUCAGACCAAGCUAAGAGUAUUAUAUGUGCCUUCCUAACUGAUAGAACAGAGCGGCUAGGACGAAAUGGUGUAGAUGAAAUCAAAAGACACCCCUUCUUUAGAGACGAGAACUGCACAUGGGACAGUAUGAGAAAAAGUGCCCCGCCCGUUGUACCGGAGCUGUCAAGUGACAUAGACACCAGCAACUUUGAUGACAUUGAGAAGGAGGACACACCACAAGAAAACUUCCAGCCACUAAAAGCAUUUGCUGGCAACCAUCUGCCCUUUAUAGGAUUUACAUAUAACAAAGAAUACCAAUUGCUGUGCUCAGGAACAUCACCUCCAGAUUGUGUUGAUUCUGCCGCUAUUGUUCCGGGGAGCAGCAGUGGUGGUGGAGAUGACAGUUCUCGGCACCUGGAGAACCAAGUUAAACAGCUCGUGGCGUCCAAGGAUGACAUUGAGAAAAAAUAUAGGAAUGCUGUGGAGGAUCUGAACCGGGCGUCUCAGGAGGAGUCCAUGGCCAAGAAGGAUCUGACGCAGAUGGAGAGGGCGAUGGCGAUGGUCAAACACGACAUGAAGGAGCUUCAGAGGAAACUGGAAAUGGAGGCCGAGGCGAAGUUAAAGGCUGAGAAUCUGAUGAGGGAGCAAUCCAAGAAGCUGGAGCAUGAGCUGACUUACCGUGCCCAGAUGACGUCCAGCAGCAUGCAGAACAACGAGAAAGUGGCCAGUCUGGAGAGAACAGUUGGAGACCUGAGUGAUAAGUUGCGAGCAGAAACCGAAAACACAAACAAGGUCAAGAGAACGUACAGCGAGUUACAACAGCGCUACACGGUGACAGAGCAGGGCUACACAGACCUCAACAACAAGUACAUGGAGGUGGUCAAUGCCAGGCAGAACAUGGAGCGGGAACUGGUGGCUCUCCAGGCAGCCUUGGACCAGGAACGUAACAACCGCAACCACGAGUCAGAACACACCAUGGAACUCAAUGAUCGGAUCCGAGGGCUGCAGAACGAGAAGGACAGGAUGAUGGACAAGGAGCGUAUGAAUGGUCAAGAGCUGCAGAAAAAGCAGAGCAUUGUUGUGCAAUUAGAAAAGAGGGUGGCCAAUGUGGAACUUGAGAGAGACAACUUCUACCGCAAACUGGAGGGAGAGAUCCAGUCUCACAAGGAGACGGUGGCUCGCUACAAUGCAGACAAGAAGAAUAUCCUCAUGUCCACAGAGGAAGCCAACAUGGAGGCUAUGAAAGAUAUGCAGAGCAAGCUGGACCACGAGCGGGUGGUGCGACAGAACAUGGAGCAGCGCUGCCUGGACAGUGAGAAGAGGAACAGUGAGCUGACAGUCGACCUGACACAGCUGCAGCAGAGGAUCACAUCAUUACAGGCCGAACUCCGCGCAGAGACAGAGAAGUGCCGGAACCUGGGCUUACAGGUUGAACAGGAGGUACAGAGAAGGAACCUCAUGCAGGGAGAUUUCAAGACACAGAACCAGGAGCUUACAAAAGCCAAGGCCAAAGAAAAACAACUGCUUAAGGAAAUUGCCGACUACCGGGAAGAUAAGAGAAACAUGGAAGAAGAUAUGAGGAAGAAGUCUGACGAUGCCUCUGUUAACGACCUUCAGUUAAAGGAAAUCAGCGAACAGCUGGAGGCUGAAAGCUACUUCUCUUCGCUGUACAAGACGCAGGUGAAGGAGCUGAAGGAAGACCUGAGUGAGAAGAAACAGCAGAUACAGGAUCUCAACAAUGACAUCCACACACUCACUGUAGAGAAGGACCAUUGCCUAGCACAGUUGCAGCUGGCCAUGACGAAGGCGGACUCGGAGCAGCUGGCACGGACCAUCGCGGAGGAGCAGCUGUCAGACGUGGAGAAGGAGAAGACCAUGUUGGAGCUGGAGAUCAAGGAGCUUAUGUCCAGACACAAGUCCGAGCUCAACAAGAAGGAGUUUAGUCUCAACCAGAUCGAGGAGUCCAAGAGGGAUUAUGCUAACAACAUUGAGAAGCUGAAGCAGGAAAAUGAUGAUCUUAACAUGAGGAUCAAGAAACUUUCAGAUGAGGCUCAAAAUUCCAAGCAGUCAGAAUGGGAGAAGAUGAAGAAACAGCUGGAUGAAGAAAGGAUGAAGAAAAUCCAGGCUGUCAACAAGCUGGCCGAAAUCAUGAACCGCAAGGAGUACCAGCCCCACAAGUCCAGCAAGGCCAGUGCGGCAGACCUCAAGAAGAAGGAGAAGGAGCUGAGGAAACUACAGCAGGAGCUCACCAUGGAGAAGGAGAAGUACAACCAGAUGGUGGCCAAGAUGCAGCGUGACAUCUCCGACUCCCAGCAGAUCGUGUACGAGGAGAGCCAGAUCCGCCAGAAACUCACCAUGGAGAUGGAUGCCAAGGAUUCAGAGAUCGAAAUGCUUCGGCAGAAACUCUCCGUUACCAACAUGGACUCCGCAUCUGUCAACAGUGGUAGCAUGGAAGAUACAGUGUUGGAGGAAAAUCAAGACUCUCAUAUGGAGGGCUGGUUGGCAGUCCCAAGUCGCUCCAACAUCAAGAAGUAUGGGUGGAAGAAGAGUUACGUUGUCAUCAGCAGCAGAAAAGUCCUCUUCUAUAACAGUGAAGCCGACAAAAUGAAUUCCGCGCCAUCUGUAAUAUUAGAUAUAGACAAAUUAUUCCAUGUGCGGCCAGUGACCCAGGGCGAUGUUUAUAGGGCCGAUGCCAAAGAUGUUCCAAGAAUAUUCCAGAUCCUGUAUGCAACUGAGGGGGAGAGUGCUAUCAGGAAGCCGGAGGAGGACCAGAGCCAGGACAGAGCUGGUGUUCUCUGUUACAAGGGCCAUGACUUCAUCCCCCUACACUUCCGCACGCCGACAACGUGUGACUCCUGCAACAAGCCGGUGUGGCAUAUGCUGCACCCACCCCCUGCGCUGGAGUGCAAGAGAUGUCAUGUAAAAGUCCACAAGGAUCAUUUUGACAAGAAUGAAGAGUUCAUUGCAUAUUGUAAAGUCACGUAUGAUUCCAGUAUACAGGCAAAGGAGAUGAUACUGUUAGCAGAAUCCUCAGAGAAGCAGAAACUCUGGGUGCAACACCUCAGUAAAAAGGUCUCCAAAAAGGGUAUUGUCAGUUCAGGAAAUUUAGGGACAUUACGAGGCACAAAGCAGUAUUCCUCCUAUGGACCCCAGCAGCGUGGCCACGCCAUGGCCAGCAAGUCUGCCACACUACCAGCCAACCCUCGGUCAUGAGGACUCGACCCAACAUUGUCUAGCUUGUCCCAACCCUCGGUCAUGAGGACUCGACCCAACAUUGCCUAGCUUGUCCCAACCCUGUCAUGCAGGGUCUUAUCAAAGAAGUCUAACCCCGGCCAACUUUUGCCUCCUGGUGGCUGUUGGCACCGUAUCAUAUCACUAACCUGCCUGACCCACAGGAUCCCCAGGGAUGGAACCAACCUUACGUCAUGAGCAACUUCAGUAUCUCAGUUUGGGGCAGAACAGGAAGCCCAAUUGCAGUCUACAUAUAUAGUCCUUAGUUGGUACUAGCACUAGGGAGGGGGGUCUGCUGGUUAGUAGAGUGGUGAGAAUGUACCAUGCAGACCCUACACUGACCAACACCUGUACUCUCAUGCAUAUCUCAAGCCAACACUAACCAAUGAAGGAGAUCUGCUGCACUGACACAAGGUCUGACAACAGAAAACCACAUCCACAUGCUUCACUCCCAGCAUGAUGAAACCAGGUGAUUACUUAGAUAGUUGCCACUUAAACAUGGAGGCACAAUGUUGUUGUGAUCGAAUACUUGACUUUUUAUGGCUUAUUUCUUUUGUUGAAAUAUGUAAUCUCUACCAUGGUGUACAGUGUGUCUUAAUGGACAAUGUCCACUACCUCUGCAAAGUUGUGCUUCGUGCUGGGAAGUUGGACGCAUCAAUGUAGCAUUGAUUAUCAGCAUACAAGAACAGACAGGCUGUGACACACAAUCUACACCAGCUGCCGACUACAUUAACCAUUAAUAUGGAAGUUCUCAUAAUUAUUCCCAAUCACACUUCACUUUUGCCAAGCUUUUAUAUUUAAGAAAUCGUACUAUUUAUAUGCAACUGAUCUUUGUGCAGCUACUAUGAUUAUGCAAUGUGGGAUUGUAAAUGUUGUGUUUCAUACAUAUCUUACUUGUUCAGGGCUGAGUAUGGUGGUUCUACAACACAAAAUGUGACAGAGGACACCACGGAGGCACCUCUAGCUCCUGUUAGAAACGCGUGUGGAGUGGUGCAUUGUGUUGUCUUCAUUGCCAAAUUCUGAAAAGAUUCUUUCAGUGCAAUAUGAGAGUAACAUAGCCAUUGGUGUUCAGUAUGCACCAGGGCAGCAGAGUUUGCCAUCUGGAGGGAGGCACGGGACAGACAUAGCUCUCCACUCUUGGAGUGAGAAUAGGCUAUGUAAAAGCAUUUACCAACACAGCCAAAGAUUUUAUGAGCAUUUCUGUGGCUUUUAUACAGGACCCUUGGAAGUUGAUAGUUAAUGGACUCCUUGUUCAAAAUAGUAAGUUCUUCUGUAGUGUCAGGUUGGCAGGUCUGGCAAUGGUAGCUUGUUGGAAUCAAAAUACUCGCAUGUAGUGGUCAUUGCAGGAACUACAUUGUGUUUAAUAGCUUUGUAUGCUGCACAAACAUCUCUAUGCCUAGUGUAUGUCAGCUUUUGACAAUAAAACUGAAGAAUUCUUCUCCAGGUCUCAAUGUAUCGGAUUAAGUGCCUAAUUAUGUAAAUGCCUAGUGCUGGAGGAUGGCUAGUUUUUACAGUGUACCUCCUAAAUACCCAGAAUACCAACCAUGAUGAAAUCCACCUUGGUCUUGUGGGUUGUCUCCAGUGAUGAAUAUGUUGUCAAUCCUGCUGAUGUUGAAUGUUUGACUGGCUUUGAGUUUGUCAUCCUGUCUAUGUGGGCACAGGCUGGUUGUGUUGGAUGACACAGGGACAGUUGGGCAUGGGAGCGUGGGUAGGCUGGUCGAGAUGGGAUGUGAGGGGGGUGGGGUGGGGAGGACCGGGAUGAGGGGAAGGAGGGGCCUGAGAUGGGAGAAAAAGGGAAAGUGAAGAGCUUAUUGGUGCUAUAACCUGGAUUAUAUGGUAUGAUCACUUUGUUUAUCUAGAAAAGACCUAGAUAUCUUCUCAAGGUAUCCAAGUUGAGUGUGAUAUUUUGAUAAUUUGUUGGUGAUUGUUAUCUUUAUCUGUCAGAGCUUAUUUUUCUCUGUUUGGCAUGUACUAUUUCUCCACUGAGCUUUGUGCAGCCAUGUUGUUUGUGAGAAGUGUUGACACACACACCUUCACCUCAUGAUGACCAUAAUACCCACACAGCUGGCAUUCUUCCUGUGUACACCUGCUUGUGCUUCUCACCACGUUAACCUGCUGCCUGGAUCUUCUUAUGGAGGGAACAUGUCUGUGAGGGAAGCUUCACCUCCCACCACGUUAACCUGCUGCCUGGAUCUUCUUAUGGACGGAACAUGUCUGUGAGGGAAGCUUCACUUCCCACCACGUUAACCUGCCGCCUGGAUCUUCUUAUGGUGGGAACAUGUCUGCGAGGGAAGCUUCACCUCUCACCAUGUUAACCUGCCGCCUGGAACAUCUUAUGGAGGGAACAUGUCUGUGAGGGAAGCUUCACCUCUCACCACGUUAACCUGCCACCUGGAUCUUCUUAUGGUGGGAACAUGUCUGUGAGGGAAGCUUCACUUUCACCACGUUAACCUGCUGCCUGGAACAUCUUAUGGAGGGAACAUGUCUGUGAGGGAAGCUUCACCUCUCAUCACGUUAACCUGCUGCCUGGAUCUUAUGGAGGGAACAUGUCUGUGAGGGAAGCUUCACGCCCCACCACGUUAACCUGCCGCCUGGAUCUUCUUAUGGAGGGAACAUGUCUGUGAGGGAAGCUUCACGCCCCACCACGUUAACCUGCCGCCUGGAUCUUCUUAUGGAGGGAACAUGUCUGUGAGGGAAGCUUCACCUCCCACCACGUUAACCUGCCGCCUGGAUCUUCUUAUGGAGGGAACAUGUUUGUGAGGGAAGCUUCACCUCUCAUCACGUUAACCUGCUGCCUGGAUCUUCUUAUGGUGGGAACAUGUCUGUGAGGGAAGCUUCACUUUCACCACGUUAACCUGCUGCCUGGAACAUCUUAUGGAGGGAACAUGUCUGUGAGGGAAGCUUCACCUCUCAUCACGUUAACCUGCUGCCUGGAUCUUCUUAUGGAGGGAACAUGUCUGUGAGGGAAGCUUCACGUCCCACCACGUUAACCUGCCGCCUGGAUCUUCUUAUGGAGGGAACAUGUCUGUGAGGGAAGCUUCACCUCCCACCACGUUAACCUGCCGCCUGGAUCUUCUUAUGGAGGGAACAUGUUUGUGAGGGAAGCUUCACCUCUCAUCACGUUAACCUGCUGCCUGGAUCUUCAUAUGGAGGGAACAUGUCUGUGAGGGAAGCUUCACCUCUCACCAUGUUAACCUGCCGCCUGGAUCUUCUUAUGGAGGGAACAUGUCUGUGAGGGAAGCUUCACCUCCCACCACGUUAACCUGCUGCCUGGAUCUUAUGGAGGGAACAUGUCUGUGAGGGAAGCUUUACAUCAGUUGGGAGGGAUGCAAUGUCCUCUAUCUCCUGGAAAUGUCUUGUUCUGUUAAGGGGCCAGUGCAUUAAUAGAUAACUUUAUAUAAGAGUAAAAAUUAAUGUUCAGUGCGGUUUCAGUGAUCUUGGUAAAAUUCCUGGGUCCACUGACACAAUGUAAUAUUUUCUUCUCUGAGGCGCAAUUAGAAGUUGGAGUUCUAUGUAAGGAUAAGAUAUAUGGAUGAACAACUUCUUUAUUACAAUUAGGAGUGACAUUUCUGUUGUAGGUUCUAACACCAUUAUCAAGCAAGUGAUGUACAAAGUAUGGUUGACAAGCAUAUGUAUAGGUAUGAGGCAGUGUUUAUGCAGUUGAGUAGAUUGGGAUGUGGUUACACUGGAGUCGAGAAGCCUGUUAUGUACACAAAAGAGGUGAUAGAAGGUAAUAAAGAAGUUGUUAUCCAUACAUGUUAUCCUUACUUACAAGGUAAUAUUACAUGUUCACAGUGACACAUGGUAAUAUUACUGGGUUCACAGUGACACAUGGUAAUAUAACUGGGUUCACAGUGACACAAGGUAAUAUUACUGGGUUCACAGUGACACAUGGUAAUAUUACUGGGUUCACAGUGACACAAGGUAAUAUUACUGGGUUCACAGUGACACAUGGUAAUAUUACUGGGUUCACAGUGACACAUGGUAAUAUUAUUGGGUUCACAGUGACACAAGGUAAUAUUACUGGGUUCACAGUGACACAUGGUAAUAUUACUGGGUUCACAGUGACACAUGGUAAUAUUACUGGGUUAGUGACAUGGUAAUAUUACAUGUUCACAGUGACACAUGGUAAUAUUUCUGGGUUCACAGUGACACAAGGUAAUAUUACUGGGUUCACAGUGACAAAAGGUAAUAUUACUAGGUUCACAGUGACACAAGGCAAUAUUAUUGGGUUCACAGUGACACAAGGUAAUAUUACUGGGUUCACAGUGACACAUGGUAAUAUUACAUGUUCACAGUGACACAUGGUAAUAUUACAUGUUCACAGUGAUACAAGGUAAUAUUACUGGGUUCACAGUGACACAUGGUAAUAUUACUGGGUUCACAGUGACACAAGGUAAUAUUACAUGUUCACAGUGACCCAUGGUAAUAUUAUUGUGUUCACAGUGACAAAUGGUAAUAUUACUGGGUUCACAGUGACACAUGGUAAUAUUACUGGGUUCACAAUGACACAAGGUAAUAUUACUGGGUUCACAGUGACACAUGGUAAUAUUGCUGGGUUCACAGUGACAGUAAUAUUACAUGUUCAUAGUGACACAUGGUAAUAUUACUUGGUUCACAGUGACACAAGGUAAUAUUACAUGUUCACAGAGACACAAGGUAAUAUUACAUGUUCACAAUGACACAUGGUAAUAUUACUGGGUUCACAGUGACACAUGGUAAUAUUACGCGGUUCACAGUGACACGGUAAUAUGACUGGGUUCACAGUGACAGAAGGUAAUAUUACUGGGUUCACAGUGACACAAGGUAAUAUUACUGGGUUCACAGUGACACAUGGUAAUAUUACUGGGUUCACAGUGACACAUGGUAAUAUUACUGGGUUCACAGUGACACAAGGUAAUAUAACUUGGUUCACAGUGACACAUGCCAAAAUUACAUGUUCACAGUGACACAAGGUAAUAUUACAUGUUCACGGUGACACAGGGUAAUAUUACUGGGUUCACAGUGACACAUGGUAAUAUUACUGGGUUCACAGUGACACAAGGUAAUAUUACUUGGUUCACAGUGACACAAGGUAAUAUUACUGGGUUCACAGUGACACAAGGUAAUAUUACUGGGUUCACAGUGACACAAGGUAAUAUUACAUGUUCACAGUGACACAAGGUAAUAUUACAUGUUCACAGUGACACAGGGUCAUAUUACUGGGUUCACAGUGACACAUGGUAAUAUUACUGGGUUCACAGUGACACAGGGUAAUAUUACUGGGUUCACAGUGACACAUGGUAAUAUUACUGGGUUCACAGUGACACAGGUAAUAUUACUGGGUUCACAGUGACACAAGGUAAUAUUGCUAUGUAAGCUGUGGUUUAGCGAGACAUUCCAGGCAUGUCGAGUGCUGUGGCCUGUCCACUCUUACACACAGAAGGCACUGCAGCCAUGUUUAUUAACUAGUUCAAUUCUGAGUUUUUAUAACAUCUUAUAUAAAUCAAAAGAGCAAGUCAUGCAGGCUCCAUUGAUAGAGGAUGUCAGGUGUGCUCCUGUUAGUCAACUAUAGAAAUGGUCCAGCACUGUGACAGGCUGUGAGCUUGUACACUUCCUAGAUGACACAUAGUAGCCAUCGUGCCUUCACUGGAUUGGUAACAUGGGAGUCUCCUUUGUCGUUGAGCUGCCCAGAUAAGUAUUAGUCUGCAUCCAGAAAUACUCAGAAUUUCUGCUGUUAGCUAUUGGUGAGAUCAGACAUAGCCCAAUCAUUGUAGCCAACAUAUACAUAUACAUAUACAUACAUACAUACAUAUAUAUAUAUAUAUAUAAGUGGUACCUGUGGUUGUGAGUAGCCCUAGUAACAGAAUAUUAUUGACCCGGCAAAUAUAAGUAUGUAACAGGUUCUACCUUCAAUAUGAUCUGUAUAUUUCUGAAAUUAUAUCAAAUAAUCUCACUUCUAUAUUCGUUCCAUAAGGACAGACAUCAUAUGUAAAUCUGUGUUUAAAGAUUUGACAAAUUUUAUUUUCAACAUUGGUAUAUAUUGUAAAUACUUUGCUUCGUUGUGUAUCUGCAUGCAUUACUGAUUGUAAAUAUUGAAGUUUGUGUAUAUGCAAUAAUGUGUUCAGAUACAAGCUGUGUGGCAGGCUGGCUCAUGCACUGUUGUCAGCUGUGUGCUUCUACCACACGUCUGGGAGAUACGUCUACACUGAAUCCUACUGAACUCACUUCCAGGAAUUUUUAGAACUGGUUAAGGUCUUCCAUGUAUUAGAGCAAACUAAUGAUCAAAAUCAUUUAUUUGUUGUUGAAUAUUGAUUUAGUACCCUUAGUCCCUGAAAUCUGGUAAGUGGAACAACACCGUGAUAGUAGCAUGGACAGUUUGUUAUUUGUUAUACAAUGUUUAUGAACAAGUUCUAUAGCCAUGGCUGCUUCAGUGCUGCAGGAUAUGUUGUGUAGCUUCAUGUAUCAGUGGAGCAAGAGCGCAACUUGCAACUCUCAUAAUGUGACAGUGCCAGGAUCUCACCAUGUGAUUUUGUUUAGUAUUGUGUAUGUUAGUCUGCUGCUGCUGUCUGCUGUCUGCAUAGUAGAGCAGUCUAUAACUGCCUGAGCUUGCAUCUCUGGGUGGAGUAUGCCCCUAUCUUCAAUACCAACCAGGAACCACUAAGCUAGAAUUAUUGAAUCAUGGUAUUAUAGUCAGAUUUGGGCUGACCAUUGGGUGCCACAGCGGCUGUCUGUGUGUGUGUGCAUGUUGUAGCAGGGGGAAGCAGCCUGUGUGACUGCUGUGUAUACACAUGUAGGAUGUACAGACUCCUCAUCACUCUGUGCUAGCAGCAGGAGGGGGAACCCACUGCUUCAUUAAUCCUAACCUAGUUGGCUGUAUUCAACUACUAGCUCCAUUUGCUAUUUUUCAUAAACUUUAAAUUCAUGUAUGUGUUCAGGAAAGCCUUGUGUAACAUGAUGACACCUCCUGUUGCAUGUCAAACUCCCACAAUGGUAAUAAUAAAAUUAUCAAAGAUAA